UUGGGUUUAAGUGUGCGUAGGCGGCUUUUAAGUCGGAUGUGAAAUCCCUGAGCUUAACUUAGGAAUUGCAUUCGAUACUGGGAAGCUAGAGUAUGGGAGAGGAUGGUAGAAUUCCAGGUGUAGCGGUGAAAUGCGUAGAGAUCUGGAGGAAUACCGAUGGCGAAGGCAGCCAUCUGGCCUAAUACUGACGCUGAGGUACGAAAGCAUGGGGAGCAAAACAGGAUUAGAUA
Molecule: ribosomal RNA, 230 nt
Filed under: uncultured Pseudomonadota bacterium
Lineage: Bacteria; Pseudomonadati; Pseudomonadota
Description: uncultured proteobacterium partial 16S ribosomal RNA
Rfam family: Bacterial small subunit ribosomal RNA
Source: RNAcentral